GACGAACGCUGGCGGCGUGCUUAACACAUGCAAGUCGAACGGAAAGGCCCUGCUCUUGCGGGGUGCUCGAGUGGCGAACGGGUGAGUAACACGCGUGUAUCCCGCCCUUGACUGUGUGAUAACUUCAGGAAACUGGGGCUAAUACCGGAUAGGAGCUCCUGCAGCACGGUGGGGGUUGGAAAGUUUCGGCGGUUGUGGAUGGAUUCGCGGGUUAUCCGCUUGUUGGUGGAGUAGUGGUUUACCAAGGCUUCGACGGGUAGCCGGCCUGAGAGGGUGGCCGGCGACAUUGGGACUGAGAGACGGACCAGACUCCUACGGGAGGCAGUGGGGGGGAAUAUUGCGCAGUGGGGGGAAGUCUGUUGCGGCGGCGCCGCGUGCGGGAUGACGGCCUUCGGGUGGUGAACCGCUGUGGCCUGUGACGAGGCGUGAGUGACGGUAAUGGGUAAAGAAGCACCGGCUAACUACGUG
RNAcentral lists this ribosomal RNA (468 nucleotides) under uncultured bacterium. Its description in RNAcentral is "partial 16S ribosomal RNA". It matches the Rfam family "Bacterial small subunit ribosomal RNA", at positions 28 to 507 of the family's 1533-position model. The record is from RNAcentral.